CUACGGGAGGCUGCAGGCGAGAAAACUUUGCAAUGUGCGAAAGCACGACAAGGUUAAUCCGAGUGGUUUCUGCUAAAGGAACCUUUUGACAGUCCUAGAAACACUGUUGAAUAAGGGGUGGGCAAGUUCUGGUGUCAGCCGCCGCGGUAAAACCAGCACCUCAAGUGGUCAGGAUGAUUAUUGGGCCUAAAGCAUCCGUAGGCGGCUCUGUAAGUUUUCGGUUAAAUCUGUACGCUCAACGUACAGGCUGCCGGGAAUACUGCAGAGCUAGGGAGUGGGAGAGGUAGACGGUACUCGGUAGGAAGGGGUAAAAUCCUUUGAUCUAUUGAUGACCACCUGUGGCGAAGGCGGUCUACCAGAACACGUCCGACGGUGAGGGAUGAAAGCUGGGGGAGCAAACCGGAUUAGAUACCCCAGUAGUC
This 422-nucleotide ribosomal RNA is filed under the name uncultured archaeon. Its description in RNAcentral is "partial 16S ribosomal RNA". It matches the Rfam family "Archaeal small subunit ribosomal RNA", at positions 323 to 746 of the family's 1478-position model. The record is from RNAcentral.